CCUACGGGGGGCUGCAGUGGGGAAUAUUGGACAAUGGGGGCAACCCUGAUCCAGCCAUGCCGCGUGUGUGAAGAAGGCCCUCGGGUUGUAAAGCACUUUCAGUGAGGAAGAACGCCUGGUGGUUAAUACCCAUCAGGAAAGACAUCACUCACAGAAGAAGCACCGGCUAACUCCGUGCCAGCAGCCGCGGUAAUACGGAGGGUGCGAGCGUUAAUCGGAAUUACUGGGCGUAAAGCGCGCGUAGGUGGCUUGAUAAGCCGGUUGUGAAAGCCCCGGGCUCAACCUGGGAACGGCAUCCGGAACUGUCAAGCUAGAGUGCAGUAGAGGAAGGUAGAAUUCCCGGUGUAGCGGUGAAAUGCGUAGAGAUCGGGAGGAAUACCAGUGGCGAAGGCGGCCUUCUGGACUGACACUGACACUGAGGUGCGAAAGCGUGGGUAGCAAACAGGAUUAGAUACCCUAGUAGUC
Molecule: ribosomal RNA, 465 nt
Filed under: Vreelandella stevensii
Lineage: Bacteria; Pseudomonadati; Pseudomonadota; Gammaproteobacteria; Oceanospirillales; Halomonadaceae
Description: partial 16S ribosomal RNA
Rfam family: Bacterial small subunit ribosomal RNA
Source: RNAcentral